Molecule: transfer RNA, 83 nt
Filed under: Pyronema omphalodes
Lineage: Eukaryota; Fungi; Ascomycota; Pezizomycetes; Pezizales; Pyronemataceae
Description: tRNA-Leu
Source: RNAcentral
ACCUGAGUGCUGGAAUUGGUAUACAGGGAAAACUUAAAAUUUUCUGAGUCACACUCAUGAGCGUUCAAGUCGUUCCUCAGGUA